GCUCCCGUAGCUCAGCUGGAAAGAGCGCCGUCGGCAGUGAUGCUGGUGCAGGUCGCAGGUUCGAAUCCUGUCGGGAGCC
Molecule: transfer RNA, 79 nt
Filed under: Agrobacterium rubi
Lineage: Bacteria; Pseudomonadati; Pseudomonadota; Alphaproteobacteria; Hyphomicrobiales; Rhizobiaceae
Description: tRNA-OTHER
Rfam family: tRNA
About the family: Transfer RNA (tRNA) molecules are approximately 80 nucleotides in length. Their secondary structure includes four short double-helical elements and three loops (D, anti-codon, and T loops). Further hydrogen bonds mediate the characteristic L-shaped molecular structure. tRNAs have two regions of fundamental functional importance: the anti-codon, which is responsible for specific mRNA codon recognition, and the 3' end, to which the tRNAs corresponding amino acid is attached (by aminoacyl-tRNA synthetases). tRNAs cope with the degeneracy of the genetic code in two manners: having more than one tRNA (with a specific anti-codon) for a particular amino acid; and 'wobble' base-pairing, i.e. permitting non-standard base-pairing at the 3rd anti-codon position.
Source: RNAcentral